Molecule: transfer RNA, 84 nt
Filed under: Flavobacteriaceae bacterium
Lineage: Bacteria; Pseudomonadati; Bacteroidota; Flavobacteriia; Flavobacteriales; Flavobacteriaceae
Also listed under: 1 other name
Description: tRNA-Leu
Rfam family: tRNA
About the family: Transfer RNA (tRNA) molecules are approximately 80 nucleotides in length. Their secondary structure includes four short double-helical elements and three loops (D, anti-codon, and T loops). Further hydrogen bonds mediate the characteristic L-shaped molecular structure. tRNAs have two regions of fundamental functional importance: the anti-codon, which is responsible for specific mRNA codon recognition, and the 3' end, to which the tRNAs corresponding amino acid is attached (by aminoacyl-tRNA synthetases). tRNAs cope with the degeneracy of the genetic code in two manners: having more than one tRNA (with a specific anti-codon) for a particular amino acid; and 'wobble' base-pairing, i.e. permitting non-standard base-pairing at the 3rd anti-codon position.
Source: RNAcentral
GCGCACGUGGCGGAAUUGGUAGACGCGCUAGCUUGAGGGGCUAGUGAGAGUAUUCUCGUGGAAGUUCGAGUCUUCUCGUGCGCA